Molecule: ribosomal RNA, 497 nt
Filed under: uncultured bacterium
Lineage: Bacteria
Description: partial 16S ribosomal RNA
Rfam family: Bacterial small subunit ribosomal RNA
Source: RNAcentral
GAUGAACGCUGGCGGCGUGCCUAAUACAUGCAAGUCGAGCGAACAGACGAGGAGCUUGCUCCUCUGACGUUAGCGGCGGACGGGUGAGUAACACGUGGAUAACCUACCUAUAAGACUGGGAUAACUUCGGGAAACCGGAGCUAAUACCGGAUAAUAUAUUGAACCGCAUGGUUCAAUAGUGAAAGACGGUUUUGCUGUCACUUAUAGAUGGAUCCGCGCCGCAUUAGCUAGUUGGUAAGGUAACGGCUUACCAAGGCAACGAUGCGUAGCCGACCUGAGAGGGUGAUCGGCCACACUGGAACUGAGAUACGGUCCAGACUCCUACGGGAGGCAGCAGUAGGGAAUCUUUCGCAAUGGGCGAAAGCCUGACGGAGCAACGCCGCGUGAGUGAUGAAGGUCUUCGGAUCGUAAAACUCUGUUAUUAGGGAAGAACAAAUGUGUAAGUAACUAUGCACGUCUUGACGGUACCUAAUCAGAAAGCCACGGCUAACUACGUG